This is a long non-coding RNA of Homo sapiens (human), 2319 nucleotides long. The record is from Ensembl. NCBI's taxonomy places the organism in Eukaryota, Metazoa, Chordata, Mammalia, Primates, Hominidae.
AGUCAUCAUGGACACCCUCCAGCCCGGCUUCCCUUCUCUCUGAAAUCCUCCCUGCUUUGACAAAACUGUCAGGGUCUAGCCAAGCCAGGCUGGCCCCAGGCCUAUGCCUUGGCCGUCUCAUCUUGCCACUUCCAGGAGGCGAUGACUCUAAGGAGGAAAGAAAUGGCGCUUCCUCCCCGCUUCCCCCAUUCAUGCUUCCCUGAACUCCUUCUUCGAGACUAGAUUGAUAUUCAUUUUAGCCUUGUCAGUCUAUGACGAUACUUACUUCUGAACACAAAUCGAGGGAGGGAGGGAGAAGAGUCACACACAUCUGCCCUGGCCUCUCCUGCUCCAGGGCAGCCCUGCACCCUAUAUGCUGCUGCCUCAGGCAGAGCCCUGGAAAAUAUGUCAUUUGUGUUUUUGGGGAAUGUUUGGACCUACUUACCCUCCUGGAAAUGAUAAAAGUUCACAAAAUUUGGAGGAAGAAGAGGCGAGAACGAUCCCCGAACCGAGCAAAGCCCGCGCGCCGCUGCAUCCUGCGCCCAGUGCCUACGUCUCAAUGCCAUCGUCGCCGCCACCAUGACCAAGAGAAAGGCUGAAGGGGAUGCUAAAGGAGAUAAAGCCAAGACGAAGGACGAACCACAGAAAAGAUCCGCGAGGUUGUCUGCUAAACCUGCUUUUCCAAAGCCGGAGCCCAAGCCUAAAAUGGCCCCUGCAAAGAAGGGAGAGAAGGUACCCAAAGGGAAAAAGGGAAAAGCUGAUGCUGGCAAGGAGGGAAUAGCCCUGCAGAAAAUGAAGAUGCCAAAACAGAUCAGGCACAGAAAGCUGAAGGUGCUGGAGAUGCCAAGUGAAGUGUGUGCAUUUUUGAUAACUGUGUACAUCUGGUGACUAUACAGUUUGAAAUACUAUUUUUUAUCAAGAUUUAUAAAAAUGCAGAAUUUUAUUUUACUUUUUUUUUUUAAGCUACGUUGUUAGCACACAGAACACUUCAUUGUUGUUUUUAGGGGAAGGGGCAUACGUCACUAAUAGAAUGACUCCGAAGCUGGAUUGAUAUGGGGAAAACACCUUUCCCUUCUAGUUUUUAGAGACUUCCUUUUGGCUCCCAGGAGGAGGGAUUCCCUGGCUUUGAUACACAUGGCCACCUUGGCACAAAAGGCUUGCGGUAUGGAAAAACAAAUUUAUUUUUAUGUCCUCUUCUCCCUUUCCAUCUUUCAGCAUAGACUUAACUCCCUUAAGCCCAGACGUCUGUUGGGACCUGACCCCUAGUCAUUGGUUACCAGUGUCAGGCAAUCUGGACUUUCCAGAUGCCACUGAGAUGGCACCUGUCAAAAGAGCAGUGGUUCCAUUUCUAGAUUGUGAAUCUUCAGAUAAAUUCUGCCAUUUUCAUUUCACUUCCUGAAAGUCAAGGUUGGUUUGUGAAAAGUUAACAGCAUGCUGAAUGUGAAAUAUCAACCCUCACUCUAAACUUUCCCUGUUCAGAGCAUCAGAUGAAGACUUCAUUGGGUUUUAUACUGGCUUUCUUUUUGGUAGUCCACUGAAGAAUCCAGGGAGUUUGAAAGUUGUUGUAUACUGUUAAUGAUUGUCUGCCCAUGUCCUGCCUGAAAUACCAUGACUGUUUAUGGAAAGUAUCUUUAAUAAAGCUGGAUACAGUUUGGCUUGGAAAAAAAAAGUUCACAAAAUUUGCAGCCUGACAAUGCAAUAGAAAAAGAAAAACUCGCUCUUGGCUUUCGGCUUGGAGGAGGCCAAGGUGCAACUUUCUUCGGUUGUCCCGAAUCCGGGUUCAUCUGACACCAGCCGCCUCCACCAUGCCGCCAAAGUUCGACCCCAACGAGAUCAAAGUCAUAUACCUGAGGUGCACCGGAGAUGCCACUUCUGCCCUGGCCCCCAAGAUCGGCCCCCUGGGUCUGUCUCCAAAAAACGUUGGUGGUGACAUUGCCAAGGCAACGGGUGACUGGAAGGGCCUGAGGAUUACAGUGAAACUGACCAUUCAGAACAGACAGGCCCAGAUUGAGGUGGUGCCUUCUGCCUCUGCCCUGAUCAUCAAAGCCCUCAAGGAACCACCAGAGACAGAAAGAAACAGAAAAACAUUAAACACAGUGGGAAUAUCACUUUUGAUGAGAUCGUCAACCUUGCUCGACAGAUGGAGCACCGAUCCUUAGCCAGAGAACUCUCUGGAACCAUUAAAGAGAUCCUGGGGACUGCCCAGUCUCUGUGGGUUGUAAUGUUGAUGGCCGCCACCCUCAUGACAUCAUAGAUGACAUCAACAGUGGUGCUGUGGAAUGCCCAGCUAGUUAAGCACAAAGGAAAAUAUUUCAAUAAAGGAUCAUUUGACAACUAGUG